UGGGGAAUAUUGGACAAUGGGCGCAAGCCUGAUCCAGCCAUGCCGCGUGAGUGAUGAAGGCCCUAGGGUUGUAAAGCUCUUUCACCGGUGAAGAUAAUGACGGUAACCGGAGAAGAAGCCCCGGCUAACUUCGUGCCAGCAGCCGCGGUAAUACGAAGGGGGCUAGCGUUGUUCGGAUUUACCGGGCGUAAAGCGCACGUAGGCGGACUUUUAAGUCAGGGGUGAAAUCCCGGGGCUCAACCCCGGAACUGCCUUUGAUACUGGAAGUCUUGAGUAUGGUAGAGGUGAGUGGAAUUCCGAGUGUAGAGGUGAAAUUCGUAGAUAUUCGGAGGAACACCAGUGGCGAAGGCGGCUCACUGGACCAUUACUGACGCUGAGGUGCGAAAGCGUGGGGAGCAAACAGG
RNAcentral lists this ribosomal RNA (404 nucleotides) under Pseudomonas sp. Its description in RNAcentral is "partial 16S ribosomal RNA". It matches the Rfam family "Bacterial small subunit ribosomal RNA", at positions 355 to 776 of the family's 1533-position model. The record is from RNAcentral. Lineage: Bacteria; Pseudomonadati; Pseudomonadota; Gammaproteobacteria; Pseudomonadales; Pseudomonadaceae. RNAcentral also lists the same sequence under 3 other names.